This 497-nucleotide ribosomal RNA is filed under the name uncultured bacterium. Its description in RNAcentral is "partial 16S ribosomal RNA". It matches the Rfam family "Bacterial small subunit ribosomal RNA", at positions 28 to 507 of the family's 1533-position model. The record is from RNAcentral.
GAUGAACGCUGGCGGCGUGCCUAAUACAUGCAAGUCGAGCGAACGGACGAGAAGCUUGCUUCUCUGAUGUUAGCGGCGGACGGGUGAGUAACACGUGGAUAACCUACCUAUAAGACUGGGAUAACUUCGGGAAACCGGAGCUAAUACCGGAUAAUAUUUUGAACCGCAUGGUUCAAAAGUGAAAGACGGUCUUGCUGUCACUUAUAGAUGGAUCCGAGCUGCAUUAGCUAGUUGGUAAGGUAACGGCUUAUCAAGGCAACGAUGCAUAGCCGAGCUGAGAGAGUGAUCGGCCACACUGGAACUGAGACACGGUCCAGACUCCUACGGGAGGCAGCAGUAGGGAAUCUUCCGCAAUGGGCGAGAGCCUGACGGAGCAACGCCGCGUGAGUGAUGAAGGUCUUCGGAUCGUAAAACUCUGUUAUUAGGGAAGAACAUAUGUGUAAGUAACUGUGCACAUCUUGACGGUACCUAAUCAGAAAGCCACGGCUAACUACGUG